This 4622-nucleotide long non-coding RNA is filed under the name Nicotiana tabacum (common tobacco). RNAcentral describes it as "long non-coding RNA (NTAB_LNC013366)". The record is from RNAcentral. Lineage: Eukaryota; Viridiplantae; Streptophyta; Magnoliopsida; Solanales; Solanaceae.
GUAAUUGUAACACAAUCGAUUGAGCAAUUGAAUAAUAAAUCAUGUUCUGCUUGUUCUUCUGCAAUUUCUUCCUAAAAUUUCUAGUACAUUACAAAUUGGUAUCAGAGCCCGAUCCUCGCACCUUGACGAUUACAGAAACUCGAGCCAAAGUUACAGAGGAAAGCGUUAAAAAAUUAGAACAUCAAUUACAGAGUUACAUGACUGAAACCAAUCAGAAAUUGGAAACUAAUGAAGCAAAAAUGGAUGAUCUUGGUCACAAACUGGAUGUCAUGAUGCAGAAGCUAUUCACCAACAAGGAUGGCCUUCUGGGGAGUGCACCAGCUGAAAUUCAUGAAAGAACAGAAGGAUCUGGUAGUAGAGCAAGGAUGAAGGAUCCUCAUGAAAAUUCUGGCGAUAUAUUCCAUGUGAACAACAACAAGGUUGAUUGUCCUUACUUCGAGGAAGGAGACCCUAGAUCUUGGCUGCGAAAAUGUGAGAGAUAUUUUCAUUAUAAUUACAUAAUAGAUCCUCAACACAAAUUAGAAACUGUUGUAUUACAUUUAAAUGGUAGAGCUAAGUCUUGGUACUUUUCAUAUCAAUUAAGCAGGGGAGUUGUAAGAUGGGCUGAUUUUGUGGAGAAAAUUUGUAAGAGGUUUAAUAAUUCUGAUAAUAGCAAUCUGAAUUUACUUGGGAAAUUCAAAAGAAUUGAACAAAUAGGGACUGUGAAUGAGUAUCUUGAGAAGUUUGAUGAUCUUAAAGCUUGGGUGUUGAUCAAACACCCUACUAUACCUGAUGAAUUUUUUUUAGGGUUCUUCAUUGAAGGUCUUAAGGAAGAAAUUAGAUACACAGUUAAAAUGUUGGAUCCUUAUUCUUUGAGUCAAGCAGUAGAGAAGGCUAGACAUAAGGAAGAUUUGUUGGAAUCAAUGAACAAAAAAGGGAAAUUGGGGAGUAGUAGACAAGAGGUUCAGUAUAGCACUAAUCUUAGUGCAUGAGUGGUUAAAAAUUCUGGUAUGGGGCAGAAAGAAGGAAACCCUAACAGUUCUAUUUCUGGUAACAAACUGUUUGAAGCUAGAAAGGCUAAAGGAGAGUGUUACAAGUGUGGGGAGAGAUACUUUCCAGGUCAUGUGUGCAAGAAUAGACAAAUUAAUGCCCUAUCUGGUACUAUUGAACAGGGGAAGAUAGUAGAAGGGUCCAGUUUGGAGGAGCCUUACGAGGAGGUGAUUGAUGAAGCCAUUAGUUUAAAUGUCUUAUCAGAUACUGUUACAUCCAACACAAUCAAGCUAAAAGGAAUGUAUGGGAAGCAAGGGUUGAUAAUAUUAGCUGACAGUGGGAGCACCCACAGCUUUGUGGCUAGUGACACUAGCCAAACAAUUAAGUUGUGUGAUUAGAGAAGCUACACCUAUGAGGGUGACUGCUGCCAAUAGUAGUCAUUUGAUGAGCUACCACGACUGCUCUCAGUUCAAAUGGAAGGUUCAAGGAGUAGAAUUUAAUUACAAACUCAGGCUAUUGGAUAUUAGAGGUUGUGAUAUAGUACUUGGUGGAGAUUGGAUGAGAAAACAUAAUCCUAUACUAGUUGACUUCAUUGGGUACAGGUUGCAAUUUAGUGUCAAUGGGAAAAGGGUAGAUUUGAAAGGAUAAACUGAAGAAGGGAGCCUCCAAGCUAUGUCAAUUUUAGGGAUGAAACAACUACUGAAGAAGGGUCAAGUAUUGUGGGUACAUCUAUUCAUUUUAACCGCCAAAGAUGAAAGGGUAACAGAGGCAAUACCUGAGGAGAUUAAGACAGUGUUGAAAGACUUUACAAAGGUCUUUACAGAGCCAAAAACACUACCUCCAAGAAGAAAGCAGGACCACUUCAUUCCUCUCAAUCCUGAAGCAGCCCCAGUCAGUAUUCGACCUUACAGGUACAACUAUUUCCAAAAAUAUGAAAUAGAGAAAUAAGUUAAUGAAAUGCUCUCUAGUGGUACUAUACAGCCUAGUUAUUCUCCCUUCUCUUCCCCGAUUCUUUUAGUUAAAAAGAAAGAUGGAAGUUGGAGAUUUUGUAUUGAUUAUAGGGAGUUAAAUAAGAUGACUAUUAAGGAUAAGUUUCCUAUUCUUUUGGUAGAUGAUUUGAUGGAUGAAUUACAUUGUUCCUACAUCUACUCAAAAAUUGAUCUCAGGGAUGGUUAUCAUCAGAUAAGGAUGGGAGAAACAGACAUCUAUAAGAUUGCUUUUAGAACUCAUUCGGACCAUUAUGAGUUCAAGGUCAUGCCCUUUGGCUUGACUAAUGCACCUGCCAACUUUCAAAGUCUUAUGAAUCACAUUUUUAAACCUUCUUUGAGGAAAUUUGUGUUGGUAUUUUUUGAUGAUAUCCUAGUUUACAGUUCUUCAGUAGAAGUGCAUGUAUUGCAUCUUAGAAAAGUGCUAGAGGUACUAUACAAAGAGCAACUAUAUGCUAAAUUGUCCUAAGUGUUCAUUUGGACAAGAUAAAGUUGAGUACCUAGGCCACAUUAUUUCAGUAAAGGGAGUUUCUACUGACCCUUCAAAGAUUGAAGCAAUGAUCAAUUGGCCUAUUCCUAAGUCUGUGAAAGCCUUAAGGGGAUUUCUUGGGUUAACUGGCUAUUAUUGAAGAUUUGUUAAGUCCUAUGGGGUUAUCAGAAGACCUCUGACAAAUCUUCUCAAGAAGAAUUCUUUUCAAUGGAGUACAGAAGCAGAAAAGGCUUUCCAACAAUUGAAAGAAGCUAUGUCAACUGUACCAGUAUUGGCUCUUGCUGAUUUCAGCAAACCCUUCAUUAUUGAAACUGAUGCAUGUGCAACAGGUAUGGGAGUUGUACUCAUGCAAGGGGGCAGACCUAUAGCCUAUUUCAAUAAGGCAAUAGCUUUGAAACACAGGGGACUUUCUACUUAUGAAAAGGAGUAUUUAGCUGUACUUUCAGCCAUACACAAAUGGAGGCAUUACUUACAAGGGGGACACUUCAUUGUCAAAACAGAUCAUCAAAGUCUUAAGUAUCUGUUAGAAAAAAAAAGUGACCACAACCUUGCAAUAGAAAGGACUCACUAAAUUACUAGGGUUGGAUUGCGAGGUCCAAUACAAGAAAGGUGUGGAGAACAAGAUUGCAAAUGCUCUUUCAAGAAGACAGGAAGAAGACUCUACUCUCCUAGAUAUAUCUACAGCUCAGGCCACUUGGUUACAUGAGGUUUCUCAGAGUUAUAAGAAUGAUCCAAUUUUAAGUGAGUUAGUGGUCAGUCCUAACAGUAAAGCUGACUAUUCACUAUACCAAUGGAUCAUCAGAUUCAAGCAAAAGAUCUGUGUGAGGAAGAAUAAAGAGUUGAAACAACAGAUGUUGGAAACCUUGCAUCAAUCAUCCUUAGGAGGACACUCAGGUCACUAAGGACCUUACAUGACGGUGCAAUCAAUGUUCUAUUGGCCAAACAUGAAAUCAAAAAUCUUUAAGUGGGUUAGUGAGUGUGAUGUCUGUCAAAGGACUAAGACUGAGCACAACCAUUACCCUGGGUUCUCCAACCCUUACCUAUUCCGGAACAGGCUUGGUAGGAUAUAUCUCUUGACUUUAUCGAAGGAUUACCUAAUUUUGGGCAGAGAAAUGUUGUGUUGGUGGUCAUAGAUAGACUAACGAAGUAUGGGCAUUUCCUAGCUAUUAAACACCCAUAUUCAGCACAGGACGUGGUAGAAUUGUUUAUGAGAGAGAUACAGAUUACAUGGGCUUCCCAAGACUAUUGUCUCUGAUAGGGACGCCAUUUUUACUAGCCAUUUCUGGAAGUAUCUCUUCAAGGCUUUAGGCACUAAACUCAACAUGAGUUCUGCCUAUCACCCAUAGUCCGAUGGUCAGACUGAGCGACUCAACAGGUGUUUAAAGACUUAUUUGCGAGCUAUGGUAUUUGGAAAUCCAAAGCAGUGGCUAAAUGGCUACAUCUUGCAGAGUGGUGGUACAAUACUAAUUACCACACUUCUCUUAAGACGACACUAUUUGAGGCAUUAUAUGGACACCCUCCGACUCAAUUACCAUUGGGUUCACUGCCUCAUAGUGGUCAUAACCCAGCAGGAGUCAACUUAGCACAGAGGCAGCACAUGCUUCAGAUUCUCAAAGAUAACCUCACUCAAGCUCAGUCUAGAAUGAAAUUCUAUGCAGACAAACUAAGGUCAAAAAGGACUUUGACAGUAGGGGAUCUAGUCUACCUAAAGCUUCAACCUUACAGACAAUCUUUAGUCGAUGUUCGCAAAAAUGUGAAUUUAAGUGCUCGUUAUUAUGGUCCCACAAGAUUCUACAGAAGAUUGGUACAGUGGCUUACCGGCUUGAACUUCCAAGCGGAUCUCAGCUUCAUCCCGUCUUCCAUGUGUCUCAAUUGAAGAAGCGGAUCGGACCAGCAGUGACAUCUCAGUCACAGCCUCCCACUUGUGAUGAGAAGGUCGAGUCUUGAUCCAACCAAUUGCCAUUUUAGGAAAAAGAAUGGUUAAGAUCGAUAAUGGGGUUCAAGUAAGGGUGUUGAUUCAAUGGGCUAACUUGGGCAGAGAAGAAGCAUCCUGGGAAGAUUGAGGUUACAUCAAGAAUCGGUUCCCAGAUUUUGUGGCACAACAAAAACCUUGAGGACAAGGUCUAUUUUGAAGGGGUGGAGAAUGUUAUGUCUGAGGCGGAGGAAUUAAGAAAGUG